RNAcentral lists this ribosomal RNA (180 nucleotides) under uncultured Glomeromycotina. RNAcentral's name for it is "partial small subunit ribosomal RNA". The record is from RNAcentral. Lineage: Eukaryota; Fungi; Glomeromycota.
GACCUGGCUGGGCGGUCCGCCUCACGGUGUGUACUGUCUGGCCGGGCCUUACCUCUUGGUGAGCCGGCAUGCCCUUUACUGGGUGUGCCGGGGAACCAGGACCUUUACCUUGAGAAAAUUAGAGUGUUCAAAGCAGGCCUAUGCCUGAAUACGUUAGCAUGGAAUAAUAAAAUAGGACGU